GUGCUGGCGGCAUGCUAUACAUGCAGUCGAGCGGACAGAUGGGAGCUUGCUCCCUGAUGUUAGCGGCGGACGGGUGAGUAACACGUGGGUAACCUGCCUGUAAGACUGGGAUAACUCCGGGAAACCGGGGCUAAUACCGGAUGGUUGUUUGAACCGCAUGGUUCAAACAUAAAAGGUGGCUUCGGCUACCACUUACAGAUGGACCCGCGGCGCAUUAGCUAGUUGGUGAGGUAACGGCUCACCAAGGCAACGAUGCGUAGCCGACCUGAGAGGGUGAUCGGCCACACUGGGACUGAGACACGGCCCAGACUCCUACGGGAGGCAGCAGUAGGGAAUCUUCCGCAAUGGACGAAAGUCUGACGGAGCAACGCCGCGUGGGGAUGGAAGGUUUUCGGAUCGAAAGCUUCCGUUGUUAUGGAACAGUUGUAAUCUUUGCGA
RNAcentral lists this ribosomal RNA (438 nucleotides) under Bacillus subtilis. Its description in RNAcentral is "bacterial SSU rRNA". It matches the Rfam family "Bacterial small subunit ribosomal RNA", at positions 35 to 467 of the family's 1533-position model. The record is from RNAcentral. Lineage: Bacteria; Bacillati; Bacillota; Bacilli; Caryophanales; Bacillaceae.